CGACUCUCGGCAACGGAUAUCUWGG
RNAcentral lists this ribosomal RNA (25 nucleotides) under Quercus fusiformis. Its description in RNAcentral is "partial 5.8S ribosomal RNA". The record is from RNAcentral. Lineage: Eukaryota; Viridiplantae; Streptophyta; Magnoliopsida; Fagales; Fagaceae.